Molecule: ribosomal RNA, 490 nt
Filed under: uncultured bacterium
Lineage: Bacteria
Description: bacterial SSU rRNA
Rfam family: Bacterial small subunit ribosomal RNA
Source: RNAcentral
CUACGUGCCAGCAGCCGCGGUAAUACGUAGGGGGCAAGCGUUAUCCGGAUUUACUGGGUGUAAAGGGAGCGCAGGCGGUUUUGCAAGUUGAGAGUGGAAGCAGGGGGCUCAACCCCCUGACUGCUCCCAAAACUGUAAAACUUGAGUAUGGGAGAGGCAGGCGGAAUUCCUAGUGUAGCGGUGAAAUGCUUAGAUAUUAGGAAGAACACCGGUGGCGAAGGCGGCCUGCUGGACCAAAACUGACGCUGAGGCUCGAAAGCGUGGGUAGCAAACAGGAUUAGAUACCCUGGUAGUCCACGCUGUAAACGAUGAAUACUAGGUGCUGGGAGGCAUAAGCCUUUCGGUGCCGUCGCAAACGCAUUAAGUAUUCCACCUGGGGAGUACGUUCGCAAGAAUGAAACUCAAAGGAAUUGACGGGGACCCGCACAAGCGGUGGAGCAUGUGGUUUAAUUCGACGCAACGCGAAGAACCUUACCCGGUCUUGAGAUCC